Plutella xylostella (diamondback moth) is the source of this 2358-nucleotide long non-coding RNA. RefSeq lists it as uncharacterized. The record is from RefSeq and is a predicted model, not a curated record. Lineage: Eukaryota; Metazoa; Arthropoda; Insecta; Lepidoptera; Plutellidae.
CGUUAUUUAUUUCUUCCAAAUAAAUAACUUACAUAUUAGUAAAUAACGUCAUAAUUUAAUUGUAAAUUCCCUUUUUAAAAGUAUCGACUUUAUCGAUAACUUAAUCUUCGGCGUCGAUAAUUCUUCAAAUUAUCGACGCGUUCCCAUCCCUAGACAGCGAAGCGGUCUUUUGUUCUUGUCCCCACUAUCGCGGCAGCCCCACUCGGUGACCACUGGCUCUCGAUCAUUCGUCCACGGGCUACGGCAUCGACUGCGCGUGACCCUACCUCACGGCAGUCCUCUAGGUGCCUAGCCCGCUCUAAAGUGUCGAAUGACCUAGACAUUACCAGUGGUAUCGUGUGUGUGUCUUCCCCAAUAUUGGGGUCCAAGGUCCACGCUACUACUCCAAGGUUCACGCUUACGUCCACGGUACGGUUUACCGACUGCACGGAACUUCUACCUACUUCUACGGCUCGCCCUCUACGUGCUGGUUCGGCAACCCCCUACCUUCGUGUUGCUGACCACGCCGCGCAGCCGAGCUACACGCCACGCGCACGCAACGGCCACGUGACCUGCCUGCCUACCUACCUGGGCACUGGAGAAGAGGACUUCCACGCCGGUCGCGUUAUCGGGGUUCCACGCCGAUACUCUUCGACCCAGGGGAGUCCCUAUCCGUGCCAACUGAAAACUGACUGAUCGUGUAGUGUAGGCCUAACCCACGUUGACCUAUAAAUAAAUUUGUGUCAAGCUGAACCCUGGCUUCUCAUUUCUACCUCUCCGUUAGCUAGCCAUUUUUCAUAAGCGCGACACUGGCGCCCUCCACGUGGUUCUAACGGUCAGUCAUUUCUUGGUUGGUAACGUAGCUUGUUUUGUGUGCGUGCAACUUGUAAAGACUUCUUUUUGUCAAUUUAUUUUAUUCCCGCUACACCUCGUAACUGUGGUACUGUGUUUGUAAUCUAGUUCUGUGAUAAAUUUAAAACUAUCGAUAUCGAUAAUAUUUUCUGUUUAAAAUAUUUAUUUGAUUGUUUCUUUAAAUUUUAUUCAUAUUCAACACAGUACAAUAGUUGCAUUUUCUUUUCAGCUGCAUCUUUUAUGCUUUGCUUUUAUAAUUUAUUGUGUACUUGAGAAAAACUGUCUACUUUAAUUGAUUUUGUAACAGAACGGAAUCAAUAAGUUAAGUAGAUCUGAUCACACAGUAGUUUUAAAAAUGACGCUUUUCGCCAUAGUUUUAGAUUUUCGGAUAGGAUCAAUUUUUUAAAUUAACUAUUUAAAAUAAUUGACAUCUACCCUAUAUCCCUUGUUUUAAAUGUAUUGACUUAAAAUCGUUAACUUUCUUUUAUAAUUGUACCCUCACUAUAGAAUUUUUUUUCAUGAAUAAUGAUUCUGCUUGAGACAGCGGAUUAUUACAUUUGCUGCCUCUUUGAAUGUAAGGCGGCCUUAUUAUUCUCUAAAUGUUUGAUAAGGCUUAUUAUGAUUGAAAGUAUGAAAGAUUUUUGCAAGAGAAGUAUGAAUGUGUAUGUAGUUUUUUUUAAACAUGAAUAAGUACUAAGCUGCGGAUUUUGACUUGUAGGAGGUCAAAAUCCUUGGGCAGAAAGGGGGGUAAUGUAACGUUAUUUAUUUCUUCCAAAUAAAUAACUUACAUAUUAGUAAAUAACGUCAUAAUUUAAUUGUAAAUUCCCUUUUUAAAAGUAUCGACUUUAUCGAUAACUUAAUCUUCGGCGUCGAUAAUUCUUCAAAUUAUCGACGCGUUCCCAUCCCUAGACAGCGAAGCGGUCUUUUGUUCUUGUCCCCACUAUCGCGGCAGCCCCACUCGGUGACCACUGGCUCUCGAUCAUUCGUCCACGGGCUACGGCAUCGACUGCGCGUGACCCUACCUCACGGCAGUCCUCUAGGUGCCUAGCCCGCUCUAAAGUGUCGAAUGACCUAGACAUUACCAGUGGUAUCGUGUGUGUGUCUUCCCCAAUAUUGGGGUCCAAGGUCCACGCUACUACUCCAAGGUUCACGCUUACGUCCACGGUACGGUUUACCGACUGCACGGAACUUCUACCUACUUCUACGGCUCGCCCUCUACGUGCUGGUUCGGCAACCCCCUACCUUCGUGUUGCUGACCACGCCGCGCAGCCGAGCUACACGCCACGCGCACGCAACGGCCACGUGACCUGCCUGCCUACCUACCUGGGCACUGGAGAAGAGGACUUCCACGCCGGUCGCGUUAUCGGGGUUCCACGCCGAUACUCUUCGACCCAGGGGAGUCCCUAUCCGUGCCAACUGAAAACUGACUGAUCGUGUAGUGUAGGCCUAACCCACGUUGACCUAUAAAUAAAUUUGUGUCAAGCUGAACCCUGGCUUCUCAUUUCUACCUCUCCGUUAGCUAGCCAU